ACAUGAAUCAGGGUAUGCAGAAUAGCUAAGUAGAGCAACAAGGAAACAUGGUAUCACAUACAGAUAGACUAUACUCCUACACAUGAUACUAAGCAUGGAAACGUCUGAGUAGAGUAUAAUCAAACAACGUGGGUGUAAUGUAAACGAUAGAGGUGCAAAGCUCAACAUAUAAUAUAUGCAUGGAUAAUAACAAAAGAGAAAGGGUAAGAAACCAUCACCGAGCGUGCACCACUGUACCAACGUCGGAUCGAAGUACCCACCUGUACAACUGUCGCGCCUGUCUCCUGACUGCAAAAGAAUGUCAACCGGACCUAAGGAGGGUCCACUGGGUUAGUGUCUAACCCACAGCUAAGAAACCCUAAAAGCAUAACCCACAAACAAUCCAACAGAAAUCAGUUUCCCAAACCGAUCGCCGUAAUACGCCGAAAAUCCCGUAAUCGCACCGAGACUCUGCCGGGACCCACGGACUGUCCCGGAACUCACCGACUCGUACUACAAGUCACCCGCUGCCACUAAAUACAAAUUUACGUGUGACUUGGCAGCAAAGACCUUAACUCACUCCAAAACGAUUAUCAUCGGAUAAUCGUUCCGAACCGGAUUCCCGAAAGUGUCUAUUUCGACAUCGGAACCCACCGUCGCUCACCCG
RNAcentral lists this long non-coding RNA (646 nucleotides) under Ananas comosus (pineapple). Its description in RNAcentral is "long non-coding RNA (ACOM_LNC042374)". The record is from RNAcentral. Lineage: Eukaryota; Viridiplantae; Streptophyta; Magnoliopsida; Poales; Bromeliaceae.